GAUGAACGCUGGCGGCGUGCCUAAUACAUGCAAGUCGAGCGAACAGACGAGGAGCUUGCUCCUCUGACGUUAGCGGCGGACGGGUGAGUAACACGUGGAUAACCUACCUAUAAGACUGGGAUAACUUCGGGAAACCGGAGCUACUACCGGCUAAUAUCUUGAACCGCAUGGUUCAAUAGUGAAAGACGGUUUUGCUGUCACUUAUAGAUUGAUCCGCGCCGCAUUAGCUAGUUGGUAAGGUAACGGCUUACCAAGGCGACGAUGAGUAGCCGACCUGAGAGGGUGAUCGGCCACACUGGAACUGAGACACGGUCCAGACUCCUACGGGAGGCAGCAGUAGGGAAUCUUCCGCAAUGGGCGAAAGCCUGACGGAGCAACGCCGCGUGAGUGAUGAAGGUCUUCGGAUCGUAAAGCUCUGUUAUUAGGGAAGAACAAAUGUGUAAUUAACUAGUCACGGCUUGACGGUACCGAAUGAGAAAGCCACGGCUAACUACGUG
Molecule: ribosomal RNA, 497 nt
Filed under: uncultured bacterium
Lineage: Bacteria
Description: partial 16S ribosomal RNA
Rfam family: Bacterial small subunit ribosomal RNA
Source: RNAcentral